AUUAUGAGUGUGACAGGCUGUGCUCAGGGAACCAUAGCGCUCCAGAGCUGUUUGGGAGAUUUUCUCCUGGCUGGGAAAUACUUUUUGAAAGUCACUUUCUCCACUAGAAGAUAUAUCAGCAUGCUUCUGCCAUUGUUGCUAGCUGUUUGGAACAUUAUUGCUCUGGACUGUGAGUGUCAGCAGAAGCUAUUAAUGGAAAAAUGGCAAAAUGUAUGA
Molecule: long non-coding RNA, 216 nt
Filed under: Zonotrichia albicollis (white-throated sparrow)
Lineage: Eukaryota; Metazoa; Chordata; Aves; Passeriformes; Passerellidae
Description: lncRNA (ENSZALG00000012938.1)
Source: RNAcentral